GAGUUUGAUCAUGGCUCAGGACGAACGCUGGCGGCAGGCUUAAUACAUGCAAGUCGAGCGAACAAUCGGGGCUUCGGCCCUGUGCGUUAGCGGCGGACGGGUGAGUAACACGUGGAAACAUGCCCUUUACUGCGGAAUAGCCACUGGAAACGGUGAAUAAUACCGCAUGUGCCCUUCGGGGGAAAGAUUUAUCGGUAAAGGAUUGGUCCGCGGUGGAUUAGGUAGUUGGUUGGGUAAUGGCCGACCAAGCCGACGAUCCAUAGCUGGUUUGAGAGGACGAUCAGCCACACUGGGACUGAGACACGGCCCAGACUCCUACGGGAGGCAGCAGUAGGGAAUAUUAGACAAUGGGGGCAACCCUGAUCUAGCCAUGCCGCGUGAUUGAUGAAGGCCCUAGGGUUGUAAAAAUCUUUCGCUAGGGAUGAUAAUGACAGUACCUAGUAAAGAAGCCCCGGCUAACUCCGUGCCAGCAGCCGCGGUAAUACGGAGGGGGCUAGCGUUGUUCGGAAUUACUGGGCGUAAAGCGCACGUAGGCUGAUUACUAAGUCAGGGGUGAAAUCCCAGAGCUCAACUCUGGAACUGCCUUUGAUACUGGUAAUCUAGA
Molecule: ribosomal RNA, 604 nt
Filed under: uncultured bacterium
Lineage: Bacteria
Description: bacterial SSU rRNA
Rfam family: Bacterial small subunit ribosomal RNA
Source: RNAcentral